AGAGUUUGAUCAUGGCUCAGGAUGAACGCUGGCGGUAUGCCUAACACAUGCAAGUCGAACGAUGUCUUCGGACAUAGUGGCGGACGGGUGAGUAACGCGUGAGAAUCUGCCUCUAGGAUGGGGAUAACGGUUGGAAACGACCGCUAACACCCAAUAUGCCGUAAGGUGAAAAAUUUAUUGCCUGGAGAGGGGCUCGCGUCUGAUUAGCUAGUUGGUGGGGUAAGAGCUCACCAAGGCUUCGAUCAGUAGCUGGUCUGAGAGGAUGAGCAGCCACACUGGGACUGAGACACGGCCCAGACUCCUACGGGAGGCAGCAGUGGGGAAUUUUCCGCAAUGGGCGAAAGCCUGACGGAGCAAUACCGCGUGAGGGAGGAAUGCCUUUGGGUUGUAAACCUCUUUUCUCAGGGAAGAAGAUCUGACGGUACCUGAGGAAUAAGUAUCGGCUAACUCCGUGCCAGCAGCCGCGGUAAUACGGAGGAUGCAAGCGUUAUCCGGAAUCAUUGGGCGUAAAGCGUCCGCAGGUGGUUUCCAAAGUCUGCUGUUAAAGACUGGAGCUCAACUCCGGAACGGCGGUGGAAACUUGGAAACUAGAGUUCGGUAGGGGUAGCAGGAAUUCCCAGUGUAGCGGUGAAAUGCGUAGAUAUUGGGAAGAACAUCGGUGGCGAANGCGUGCUACUGGACCGUAACUGACACUCAGGGACGAAAGCUAGGGGAGCGAAAGGGAUUAGAUACCCCUGUAGUCCUAGCUGUAAACGAUGGAAACUAGGUGUGGCUUGUAUCGACCCGAGCCGUGCCGUAGCUNACGCGUUAAGUUUCCCGCCUGGGGAGUACGCACGCAAGUGUGAAACUCAAAGGAAUUGACGGGGGCC
Molecule: ribosomal RNA, 869 nt
Filed under: uncultured marine microorganism
Description: bacterial SSU rRNA
Rfam family: Bacterial small subunit ribosomal RNA
Source: RNAcentral